This 329-nucleotide ribosomal RNA is filed under the name uncultured bacterium. RNAcentral's name for it is "bacterial SSU rRNA". It matches the Rfam family "Bacterial small subunit ribosomal RNA", at positions 8 to 352 of the family's 1533-position model. The record is from RNAcentral.
AGAGUUUGAUCCUGGACUCAGGAUGAACAGCUGGACGAAGUGGGUAAGGCAUGCAAGUCGAACGGUUCUACUUCGGUAGAAUAGUGGCGAACGAGAUAGUAACGCGUGGAUACAUACCCCAAAGUCAGGCAUAGCCUGGGGGGGUGCCAGGGUAAUUCCUGAUAGUACCCUACUUGCAGGGUAAAGUUUUUCGCUUUGGGAUUGAUCUGCGGCUUAUCAACUUGUUGGUGGGGUAAUGGCCAUACCAAGGCUAUGACGAGUAGGGGGCAUGAGAGUGCGACCCCCAACGAUGGAACUGCGACACGGUCCAUACUCCUACGGGAGGCAGC